Molecule: long non-coding RNA, 2003 nt
Organism: Equus asinus (donkey)
Lineage: Eukaryota; Metazoa; Chordata; Mammalia; Perissodactyla; Equidae
Source: Ensembl
AACUCCAUCUCAGUAUCUAUUUCCAGAGCACCCACCACAUGACACCUUUGAAAAACCAUAAGCUUGGUGUUUUUGGCUAAGAAAUAUGAAAGAGAACGUGAGUGGAGCCAUAGUAAAAUAGAGUCAGUGCAGCCAUUUCAGAGGAAUUGCCCUGCACAUCUUGUUUUCUUUAGCUUUCUAACUGGACCAAACCGCCAACGUUCCAAGAAGUCAGUAAGGACAAGAAUAUCCUGUUUCAGUGAGGACUGACGAAACUAGACUUUGCUGAUGAACAAACUGCUAACCAAUCAAUGAAGUACAGGUCUAGUCUUUUGCCUGAUGACUGAAAUUUCAAGCCAAUCUAUGAAAUACAAACUUAGCCUCACCUCAUCUAGCACCAGUGAACUCUUCCUUAAUACAACUUACCUCAUCUUCCUCCUUUUGUCCCAUAAAAAUCCUGAGCCCCUUUCCUGUAAUCAGAGUACAUUUGAGUUUCUAUUUGAAUCUGUAUCUCCCAAAUUGCAGUUCUUGAGACCCCGAAUGAGUUUUUUGCGUCUCUUGCAGUUUAUGCCUCUUGUUCAUUGACGUUACAAGGUUUCAGAAACAUGGGGUCUAGAGCAACUGACCUCCAAUUCUGGAGCCACUGGGCGCACACAAGCAAGGCAGCUGCAAUGAGUUCUUUGUGCUCUAUCAUCUCCUCCUGGUGGCUCCGGCUCCUGGUGCUUUGUUGAGGAACUUCUGUUUGUUUGUUCCUUCCUUGAGCCUUUUGGUAAGUACUUACAAAUGGGAAGUCCAUUUUCUAAGGGGACUGCCAAGGGGCCACCCCGCUCUGGGACUUCUGCUGGUUUUAUGUUUAAAGAAUACAGACCUCCUAAAUGUAGAUUUUUGUCCUGCUGGAUUCACAUUAUUCAGGAUGAUUUAAGGCUUCACAGCCCACUUUGGGGCUCUUUUGAGCUUCCAAAACUUGUGUUUUUGCACGCUAGAUUUGAGAACCUCAGAUUUAAGACCGGAAGUAAGAUCUUUAAUUUCUAGAGUCAAGCACACCACCUUCUGGCACACCUGAUUAAAAACGAUGGCCCUGGAAGCUGUAAAUAUUUAUAAAGAACAGGAAAAUCUUACUAAGUUUGUUUGACAUCCUGAGAACUUGGUUUGGUAGCCAUCAGGCUGGGAGCCAACAUAUGGCUGGGCAGAAAUGGAGGUUAAACUCCAUUUGCAGCUAAGCUUCUACCAAACUGCCGCCAGCCUCAGAAGAAUUACAUUGGCCAUUAGAAAGUAUGUUCCAAUUAGAUAAACCAUUUAAGAAAUGCACUUAAAAGCAAAGUCUUCAAAAUUCUGCAAUAGACUUAUCGAAGAUGUUUACCCUUAAAAGAUCUUGACGGUAGAGCCUUCCUCUGCUCUGCUCUGCUCUGUAGUCUUCUUGCUCAAAUGUGGCCUAAAGUCUCCAAAGCAAACCGCUUUCCCUCCUGUGUGGGAUGUGACACACUGGGAAUAAACCUUCCUGGUGACGAGGGACCAGCGAUGCUCAAAAUUAAGGCUUCCUAUCAGGAAAGCACCUUAGUUGAGUUUCACACAAAGGCAGUAACAACAGAAUCUAUAAAGGUUAUGGCACAUGUGGAUGAAGUCCAUUCUGCUUCUGCAAAAAAAGAAAUUGACCCCUCUUGCUAGACUCUUGCCAUCCUGAUAUCCUUGUAACAUGGCAACAGUCUGCUCCUGUAUCAGAGAAAUUAAGGUGGGUAAACGAUGGCUGUAAAUUGAAUGAACAGUCAGGGCCAUGGGAAACCCAAGACAAUGCUUUAAUGACUGAUCAGCAAUGCUUUCCAGUAUUUGAUCAACACUGCUUUUGGAGAAAGAUCUUGAUCAAAAGAGAAAAUGUGAAAGGUGACAUGAGUGGAGCCAUAGUAAAAUAGAGUCAGUGCAGCCAUUUCAGAGGAAUUGCCCUGCACAUCUUAUUUUCUUUAGCUUCCAGACUGGACCAAACCACCAACGUUCCAAGAAGCCAGUAAGGACAAGAAUAUCCUGUUUUG